AGGCGUGGCUUCUCUGUUCUAAGCCUGACAGUGCCUGAAUCCAUUGGGGUCCAUCGGGCUCUCUCCUGCGUUCUUUCUCCAGCCCCAGUUCCUUCCCUCGCAGGUGCAGUGGAUUCUGGAAUCACCCAAACACCAAGACACCUGAUUAAAGCAAGAGGACACCAAGUGAUACUAGGUGUUCCCCUAUGUCUGGGCACCGCACUGCGUCUUGCUACCAACAGGCCCUGGGUCAGGGCCCCUAGUUCCUCUUUGAGUUUUAUGAAAAUAUGCAGAGAGCAAAAGGAAACUUCCCGGGUCGAUUCUCAGCACAACAGUUCUGUGAUGCUCGUUCUGAGCUGAACCCUGACUUGAGCUCCUUGGAGCUGACGGAGGCGGCCCUGUAUCUCUGUGCCAGCAGCCAAGACGCAGCCCUGCAUGAUCAGCUGCCUCUGGUACAAAAACAUUCCUGCCCCAGCUCAGGAAGUGGCCAUGAGGGCGUUGACUGCCAGCCAACCACUCCCAGGCCCUGGUAAAGCAGACAGCCUUUCGCAGGUAUUAUUUCUUUGAUAUGUAUGAAUGCUCCCAAAGAGCAUGCAUAAUAAAUAUUAUUUUACCUGUUUGUAUAUCUGCGGAGAAGUGUCUUGCCCAGAUCUCCUAUUUCAUAACUGUCAGAGCAAGGAAGCAGACUCAAGUCUGUCCUCGACACCUGUGGUCCCUGCCCUAUAGAACAGUCCCCCCAUAGAACAAAUAUAUAUAUGUGUGUGUGUGUGUGUGUGUGUGUGUGUACAUAUAUAGAUAUAUAUGUAUAUAUACAUAAUUUAAGGGAGUUGGCUCACAUUUUUUUUAAGGCUGGUAAGUCUAAAAUCUGCAGCUGGGCUGGUGGUACUAGAGAUCCAGGGAGAGCUGAUGUUUAAGUUCAGAGGCUGUUAGGCAGAAGGAGCCGAUGUUCCAGUGAAGGCCAUCAGCUGGACAAUUCUCUCUUACCUGGGAAGAUUAGGCUUUCUGUUCCAUUCAUGUCUUCAACUGAUGGGAUGUGGCCCACCUACAUUAUGGAAAAUCAUCUGCUUUACUAGCUAGAAUGUUAAUCUAGUCUAAUAUUAAAGUCUACCUAUUCACAUGUUAAUCUCUUCCAAAAACAUCCUAACAGGAACACCCCGAAUAGUGUUUAAAUACUUGUGGCCCAGCCAAGUUGACACAUUACAUUAGCCAUCGCACCAUCUUCCAAGGUUGCAUAAAAAUUUAGUAAGCGUGAAGUACCUGGCACAUAACAGAACUCUGCAUUUCUUGACUCCCUUUGCUACUCUCUGACAGCCUCUUCCACCGUUUCCCAGGGGCAAAGUUAGAGAUGAACAUAUUGUGCCUGUAGUUGAGGACUUCAGAAGUCACAGAAAGGUGAAUAUUUAUGCCCGAUGAUUCGUUACAUGAAAUUAACCAGAGCAUGUAAUACACAUCCCUCAUCAGGCAUUUUUAAAUCAACUUUUUUGACGGAUGAAUUAUAGUUAAGCCUUGAACAAUGUGGAGUUUAGCAGAGGCUAGGGGCUCUGAGCCACCCCCAAGCCCACAGUCAAAAAUUUACAUAUAACUUCACGCUUGAAUGUCCGUAUCCACGGUUCUGCAUCUGAAGAUUCAACUAACUACAGAUCCUGCAGUACUGUAGUAUGUAUUUAUUAAAAAGUGGACCCACGCAGUUCACACCUGUGUUGUUCAAGGAUCAACUGUAUGUACAAUAAUCAUUACACACUUUAUAAUUGACAGGUCAAUGGUUUUGCUCAAUAUAUACAUAUAUACCCAUGUAAUAUCUACCCUAUUAAGAUAUAGAAACAUUUCCAUCUCCCAGAAAGUUCCUUCAUGCCCCUUUCCCAUGUCCCUGUCCAUCCCUGAAAACCAAAUAAAUGAUUUCUGUUACUAUAGAUUCGUUUUGCUCAGGCAUCUUUUUAGUGAAAAUUUAAGGUCUCUAACCAUUGAAACAAUUCCUCUUUAGCACAGAGCUAAAUAUUUAAGACAGUUAGGUGCUACUGGAAAGCGUUAUGGUUAAAAAAAGUGCUUGAAAUCAUGUGAUACGGAAUAUCCACUUCAGGGACAAUCCUCACUGGGGAUGGAAAGUUUGAUAAAAUGACCAUCAGAAGGUCUUGCCAGGUGGUAGAGGCUGUUUUUGUAAAAUUUAUUUAUUCACUUUUAGAAAUUUCUUUUCUCAUGCACCCAUUCCCAGAAAUCAUUGUAUAAUGAUAUUUUGAUAAGAAGUCAUCAUCUCCCAGGAAAUUAUUUUGAGAUCUCAUGAGACACACACAGAGCAAGGCUUCAUGUUCACACACUGUGUGCUGGGCUGUGCAGACAACAGGCAGUAGAAAUUUCGGGGAGAGAUCGUUUCACGUCAGGAGAAGGGUUCCCUUGGCUUUUACCCCCAGUAUCCAAGACACAGGCCUUGAUCUGGAAAGUCCCCCUUUCUGUUCUGGCCUUGCCUGUGCACCGGUCUCCCAUGCUGUGUGUCCUUCUGUCUCCUGGACUAGGGAUGUCUGAGCACAGAUGCGGAACCACUCUGGGGCUUGCCAGGCCCCAGAUCAAGGCUUCUUGUUGUGGUUACAUCAGGAUCCUUCUUUGCUUCUGACUUUAGUUUCUGUGUCUUUCUCUCCCAGACCCCAGGAAUGACGAGUCACCAAGACCCCAGACAUGUGGUCACGCUCAAGGGAAACCGGCACAUCAGGCAGUACCCACAGGUCCAAAAUCAUGUACUCAGGACCAGCUACAUAAUUUGCAGGGCCCGUGAUUCUAAACUUAUUUAGAAUGAAUAUCACGGCCGCAGAACAUUGCAGCAAGUACGGGGUCCUUCUCAGGGUGGGGUUAGUUAUGUGCAACAAGGUACAGUUUGGGGCUCUGUGAUAUUUGUGACUCAAUUAAUGGCAGCUGCUACACCAGGAGGUAUUCCCCAUGGAAUGGAUGUCUCAGGUAAAAACAGAGCAUCUUUCAUUUACCCUGGAGUCUGCCACCUCUCACCCCGUCCCUCCCACGUCUGUAUUCCUCUGUGCUAACAUGUCAUCUGCGGUGCUGGGCAACCAUCUCUCCACAAAGAAAGGUCGGUCAUAGGCGUGAUGUGGCUCUGCUGCUGCUAGAUGUCCCCUCCUGACACAGGAAGCACGUGCUCAGGUGACCAGGAAGGAGUUGCAGCUGCCCCUGUCGGUGAAUUGAUGAGAAAUAGAGCCAAACGAUUCCUCAAAUGUUGAUGAGCCUGAGGUUGGGAAACCAGAUACCAGAAGAAUCACUGUAGGUGGAAGGACAGGACCAGGACUGUGAUGAAUUAAACAAAGUAGAAACAGACACUUGAAGAGUAUUUGGGAUGCAUGAGUCAUAAAGGCUGCAGGAAGCCAUAAGGAUUUUCCCCAAAAUUCAAAACUAGAUUAGAUAAAUGAAACCAAUAUACGUAUUAAUGAAGAAUUAUCUCUGGGAUAAAAUACACAUAAA
Molecule: non-coding RNA, 3435 nt
Organism: Orcinus orca (killer whale)
Lineage: Eukaryota; Metazoa; Chordata; Mammalia; Artiodactyla; Delphinidae
Source: the annotation of a RefSeq genome assembly